GGUACUGUAUAAAUAAAAUAAAAUUGAAUUGAAUCUAUGACAUCCCCAUUUGAGGAGGAGGAUGUCAUCAUUUACAUACAGUUUGACAUAUUUUCUUUUUCUUUUUUUUGGAUUAAAACUGUAAACUGAACAAGCCAUAGAAAGUGGCAGCAAAAUUUAUGGUGAGUCAAAAAAACAAAACACCACUGCUCUUAGCCUCUGCUACUCAUUUAACUUCUGUUUUUAUUUCAUUGUAAAGAAAUAAGUAUCACAAAGGAAAAAUCAUUCAUUGGUUUCAGGUUGGGUUUCAUCAGUGUUAUCAACUAAAAAUACUGUCUCUCACGCUUUGUCAGAAACACUAACAACUGUCAGUUCGCAGUAACAGGAACAUAGAGUAUGAAGGAAACCAGCAGUGAGCUCUUGGGACUACAGUAAGACUAAAUGUCAUUCAGUAUAUUUACCCCUGACAGGAUGAGCACAACAUGCUAAGUUGUCAGAAUUCGGUACAGACGUUAAUAAAAAUGCACAUAUAAUUCUUGUAACACUGGGUUGUCCAUUUAUAAAACAAACAAUAUGAAAUAACACUUGACACUUUUGACCGAGUCCAUAAACUCCAGGAAAGUCCACCAGACAACAAAGUGUUCACUGAGGUCACAGGUCAAGGCAGCACAGGGCUGUUUGCCCAUAGACACCUACAAGUAACCUUAUUGAAACCACAGGAGUUUCCCCCUGCUGGGCAUUAGAAGUACUGCAAGUUUAGCCACUUCUGCAGUAGCUUCACCUCUCUGAACCAGAAGCUAGCUCGUUUAUAUGCAAUCUGUGAUUUUUCCACCUAGAUUAAAUAUCAUUGGAUGACUCUCUGGUGUCCAGUGAGGAGGCGCCUGUGCUCAGCAGGGGUUUCUUCUCUCGAGAGAGAAAGAGGUUGUUGUAUUUCUGCCAGAAGACUCCAGUGUGCUGAACAGCCUGUGGCCAACUCAACCCCUGCAUUCUCCUCUAUGCUUCCUUGCUCCCUCCUCUUGUAAUUUAUUCAUUGGUGCCUCCUCUGGUAGAGCAGUGAGGAGAAAGAAGCGGGGAACCAGAUGAAGACUUUUUCUCCACUUUGGGAGUCUGCAGCGAUGGACUGUCGAACAUUUACCAUGCCUUUGUCAACCAACACUGAUGUAUGUGGAUCCUAAACAGGUAUGAAGGAAAUAUAUUACAUGCCUGCAGUAAUAUUCCAGUGACA
RNAcentral lists this long non-coding RNA (1204 nucleotides) under Oreochromis niloticus (Nile tilapia). Its description in RNAcentral is "lncRNA (ENSONIG00000035236.1)". The record is from RNAcentral. Lineage: Eukaryota; Metazoa; Chordata; Actinopteri; Cichliformes; Cichlidae.